GUUCACCCUAUAUGUCAAAGAUAAUCAAAUUUCAUGAUUAUUCCCAAAUGGUCUCAUAAUAAAAAUGUCUAUUUUUUGAAUAUAACUAUUUGGAUUUACAUACGGCGAUAAUCAUUAUGAAAUUGUCGAGAAAACCAAAUCCAAUAAAUGGAAUUGCAUUAGCAACCGAUACUAGAAACAACGAAAAUAUAUGAGAUUUAGAAUUUUUUUUCUCAUUAGAUUCACUAAAAAAAGUCAAUUUCAGUAUUGCACUUUACCUCUCAUUAGAUCACCUUUUUUCGGCAGAGGAACUGUUGCAACUGCAACACGAAUGUUAUCCAUCAGUUAUGCAAAAAUAUGAGAGAUACAAUAUUGAAAAAAAUGUUUUCAUCUCUUGAAGCAUUAUUGACUCAGUGCAAACAAUUUUUAAUAGUUAAUAUAAGUAAGGCACAAGCCAUGAAAUAGUCAUUAACUUUUGUCAAAACGUAUUCCUACAAAGAGCUACAGAAUUCUGUAUAAAGACAAUUUUAUCGUUAUUUUACGAUAAUUCCGAGAAAUUUCUAUUCACUCGUACUAAUGAGUUAUUAUAUCGCAGUUUCAAUUCGAAAAUAGGAAUAUUUUCGGUUGAUAGGUUUGCGACAAAAAAAUCAGAAUUGGAGUUUCUUGUGUAUUUUCAUUUCCAGAUAACAAAAUCUGGACCAUGUUUGUCUUACGAAAUAACAUGUGACUAAAGAGUAAAAUCCUUAGUUCGAUCUCCUCAAAAAUACAGUACUUUUUUGUAUUUAGUUCGAUCUCCUCAAAAACAGUUUUGGGUAAAAAUCAAACAUAACUGUGAUGCACCCGGCCAGUGGAGUCGAGUAGGGGAAAUUUAGAAAAGCUUUCUCCUAAAGUUUUACACCGAUAGACCAUGCAGAAACUUUGGAAAACUAUUUUUGAAAUCCCUACUCUUAGAUAAAAAAUUGAAAAGUUACAUUGAUUCUUCGAAAUUUUAAAACCAAAGUACGUUCAACCCCUUCACUAGAUUCCCUCACGCCAUAUGGUGAGCUGCUUAAUAGAAAAGUCCUAAUUAUACGAGAUAUAAAUGAAAGAAAAAACACUAGUGAGUAUAAAAUCUGGUAUGACCAUUGCUAUUCUUAUUGACUGGAUGAAUCACAAUAUUUCGUACAUAAUUUUUUCUGUUUUUCCCGACAUAAGUUCGUGAAUUUUCAACCAUGCGAGUAUGCUGCAUAGAGACUGCACAAAGAGCUUCAACACUUCCGUUUUGGUGGAAUUUCUUCGUUUUCAAAUGACAAAUAAACAUUUCAGCGUUCGAGCCGUGCACCAUGCUGAGAGAAUUGCAAGGAUAAAGAAAAAGUGAUCCAGACAGACUUACAGAAUAGAUUAUCCGUGUGAGAGGUAAAGCAGAAAAAGGAGAUAGCCUGUGUCAGUAAGAUACAGUGAAGUUUUUUUCUCUGUGAAACUUGUUUUAUUCCUUUAAAGAAUGAACUAUGAUAAAGGAAGUAUUAAUGACAAAAAGAAAAAGAAGGAAAAGAAUAUUUUAAUGCGAUAUUGAGCUCCGAUUAGCUGGUGGUGGAAGGCAGAGAUGACAAGUGGGCAAGUUUUCCAAAUAUGUAGGGAUUGCAGAUGCAUUUUUGUAAAUGACAAUUUAAGAAGAUAAACAAUAUUAUUUACAUAAAAAUUCUUGGAUAUUAAAUUAUUAUAUACUAAAACGUUAUAUACCUAUUAACAUAAAUAUUCUAUGAAAUAAUUAGGCUUCAGACAAUUGCAUGUACCAACACAUAAAACAUUUAAUAUUGAUUUUCAUGUCUUUUUCUUUAGUUAUUUAUUUUUCUGAUAACUUUGUGCUUGUGUUUAUGAGUGCAGUUCAUUAUUUCAUGCGAGCUUACAUGAAUCUUCCGAAUGAUCCGCUUAAAGUAUAAUUAGAAAUUUGUUAGUACGCAUAUUAUGGUAAGAAAUUUUUGAAAUGUAAAAAAUACUUUUUUAUAAAGAAAAACAUUCUUUUAAUGUUUCAA
Molecule: long non-coding RNA, 1991 nt
Filed under: Venturia canescens
Lineage: Eukaryota; Metazoa; Arthropoda; Insecta; Hymenoptera; Ichneumonidae
Description: uncharacterized LOC122415311
Source: RNAcentral